CUAGACUAACAGUGUAAUGCCAACGUAAACAACUGGUCGACACUAACAGUGAAAUGCCAACGUAAACAACUGGUCUAGACUAACAGUGAAAUGCCAACGUAAACAACUGGUCGACACUAACAGUGAAAUGCCAACGUAAACAACUGGGGCCUGUUGCACAAAAGUAGAAUUAAGACAUCCGGGAUAAAUGACUCAGCUGAGCUCAAUGAAGCCAAAACAUGUGCGUCCAGGCUUAAUUGGUUGCACAAAGACCAAGCCAGGAUGAGCAGACACGGAUUCAUUAAGCCAGGUGAAACCAAUCCUGGAUAGGUACGUGCUCACGGCUCACUCAAAUAGACCCCGCCACAGAUCACAGAUUAACUGAUUUACCAUGGCAACUAGAGCCGCGUACUUUUCCCCGUCGGAAGCACAAAUCCUCAUGGAGGCAUACGUAUUGCAGACCGCCUGAAUGCGUAAGUAGUGCACAAUUACACACUCACCGCUCCGCUGAAACAUCACAAUUACAAUUCAAAUAUUUAAUUCACAUCUCCAAAAAUGCAGUUGUACUGUAAUUAUGAAACGGUUAAAUUUUUAAUUGAAAUGCACUGCAGAUAUGAGUGAAAUUGUGUAAAGUAACUCCAUCACACUGUAUAAAGCUAUGAUAAAUUUUUUGAUAUUUUUACUGAAAACAAGACAAAAAUACCAAGUAAUUUUUUGCAGUGUGACUCCAUUAAAUGUGUGUGUGUGUGUGUGUGUGUGUGUGUGUGUGUGUGUGUGUGUGUAGAUUAAACAUGAACGGGCCAAAACGGACAUGGCAGCAGGUCAAAAUCAAAUACAAGAACAUUCUGCAGAAUGCAGUGAAAAAGAAUACCCACAGACAAGGCACGGGUGGUGGGUCACCAAAGGCUGACCUUACCCCAGCAGAGGACAUGGCCUUGGAGCUAAAUAAAGGCAGGCCCGUCUUAGAGGGGAUCCCUGGGGGGAAAGAGACGAGCAUAGGUUCCUCCCAAGAUGCCACCCGCUUCAUUCAAGUGCCUGGCAGCACUGUGUUCCUGUUAGAGCCACCAGCACAAGCACCAGACGAUGCUGAUCCAG
Oncorhynchus nerka (sockeye salmon) is the source of this 1074-nucleotide long non-coding RNA. RefSeq lists it as uncharacterized. The transcript has 3 exons. NCBI's taxonomy places the organism in Eukaryota, Metazoa, Chordata, Actinopteri, Salmoniformes, Salmonidae. The record is from RefSeq and is a predicted model, not a curated record.